RNAcentral lists this ribosomal RNA (1953 nucleotides) under human gut metagenome. Its description in RNAcentral is "bacterial LSU rRNA". It matches the Rfam family "Bacterial large subunit ribosomal RNA", at positions 1 to 1977 of the family's 2925-position model. The record is from RNAcentral.
GAAAGUAAGCAAGGGCAGACGGUGGAUGCCUUGGCUCUCGGAGGCGAUGAAGGACGUGAUAAGCUGCGAAAAGCCCGGGGGAGAUGCAAAUAAUCCUUGAUCCCGGGAUUUCCGAAUGGGGCAACCCGGCAGGCAGGAGGCCUGCCACCAUGCAAAUGGGGCGAACGCGGGGAACUGAAACAUCUAAGUACCCGCAGGAGAAGAAAACAAAAGUGAUUCCGCAAGUAGUGGCGAGCGAACGCGGAACAGCCCAAACCGGUGCCGUUUCGGCGGCGCCGGGGUUGUAGGACCACGCCGUGGCAAGACGGCAGGACAGCGGAAGGCGUUGGAAAACGCCGCCAAAGACGGUGAAAGCCCGGUACGCGCCAUCCUGCCCAAGCCUAGUGGCAUCCUGAGUAACGCGGAGCACGAGGAAUUCUGCGCGAAGCAGCGGGGCCCAUCCCGCAAGGCUAAAUACUCCCGAGAGACCGAUAGCGAACCAGUACCGUGAGGGAAAGGUGAAAAGAACCCCGAACAGGGGAGUGAAACAGACCCUGAACCCGUCUGCCUACAAGCGGUCGGAGCACCAAUUUGGUGUGACGGCGUGCCUUUUGCAUAAUGAACCUACGAGUUACUUCCAGUGGCGAGGUUAAGGCGUUCAGCGCCGCAGCCGAAGCGAAAGCGAGUCUGAAAAGGGCGUCGAGUCACUGUGAGUAGACGCGAAACCAAGUGAUCUACCCUUGGCCAGGAUGAAGGUUGGGUAACACCAACUGGAGGUCCGUAUGGUUAUACGUUGAAAAGUGUUCCAAUGAGCUGAGGGUAGGGGUGAAAGGCUAAUCAAACUUGGAGAUAGCUCGUACUCCCCGAAAUGCAUUUAGGUGCAGCCUGCCGGCAGUAUUGCACGAGGUAGAGCGACUGAUUGGAUGCGAGGGCUUCACCGCCUAUCAAGUCCAGACAAACUCCGAAUGCGCGCAAUACAUUCCGGUGGAGUGAGGGCGCGGGUGCUAAGGUCCGCGUCCGAGAGGAGAAGAAUCCAGACCACCGGCUAAGGCCCCGAAAUCGGGGUUGAGUUGAACUAACGAGGUCGGAUCGCAGAGACAGCUAGGAUGUUGGCUUGGAAGCAGCCAUUCAUUUAAAGAGUGCGUAACAGCUCACUAGUCGAGGAGUCCGGCAUGGAUAAUAAUCGGGCAUAAGGCAUCUGCCGAAGCAGUGGAUCACGCAAGUGAUGGUAGGGGAGCAUUCCAUGUGCGUCGAAGGUCGGGGACGACCCCGGCUGGAGCGCAUGGAAAAGCAAAUGUAGGUAUAAGUAACGAUAAAGGAAGCGAGAAACUUCCUCGCCGAAAGACUGAGGUUUCCUGAUCAACGCUAAUCGGAUCAGGGUAAGUCGGGACCUAAGGAUAAGCCGAACGGCGAAGCCGAUGGAAGAAACGGUCAACAUUCCGUUACUACUGUAUUGGGUGAAGCGGGGACGGAGAAGUGAAAGCCCUGCCGGCUGACGGAAUAGCCGGUUGAAGGGUGUAGGUGCAGAUGGCCGCAGGCAAAUCCGCGGCUUGAGCCGAACCUGAGAGUAUGCCAAGCGCUUGCGCGAGGCAAGAUGGGCGUAAUCCGGCUCCCUAGAAAAUCCGCUAAACGUAACCAUUACAGUACCCGUACCGCAAACGGACACACGUAGUUGGGUUGAAAAUACUGAGGCGCUCGAGUGAUUCACGGUUAAGGAACUAGGCAAAAUGGUCCUGUAACUUCGGGAUAAAGGACGCCAAUCUAAAGAUUGGCCGCAGAGAAUAGGCCCAGGCGACUGUUUAACAAAAACACAUGGCUAUGCUAAAUAGUGAACAUGAAGUAUAUAGCCUGACACCUGCCCGGUGCCGGAAGGUUAAGAGGAGAUGUCACCGCAAGGGAAGCAUUGAAUUGAAGCCCCGGUAAACGGCGGCCGUAACUAUAACGGUCCUAAGGUAGCGAAAUUCCUUGUCGGGU